GUGGAAGUUGGGAUAAAAAGGGGAUUUGUUGGGAUUUGGGUCAUGCAAUUGGGGAGAAAAAUGGGAUUUGGUGGGAUUUGGAUCAUAAACUGGGGAUAAAAAUGGGAUUUGGUGCGAUUUGAGUUGUGGAAUUGGGAUCAAAAUGGGAUUUGGGUCAUAAACUGGGGAGAAAAAUGGGUUUUGGUGGGAUUUGAGUCAUGGAAUUGGGGAGAAAAAUGGGAUUUGUUGGGAUUUGGGUCAUGGAAUUGGGGAGAAAUGGGAUUUGUUGGGAUUUGGGUCGUUGAAUUGGAGAGAAGAUGGGAUUUGGUGGGAUUUGGGUCAUAUACUGGGGAGAAAAAUGGGAUUUGUUGGGAUUUGGGUUGUAGAAUUGGGGAGAAAAAUGGGAUUUGGUGGGAUUUGGGUCUUAAACUGGGGAUAAAAUGGGAUUUGGUUCGAUUUGGGUCAUAUACUGGGGAGAAAAAUGGGAUUUGUUGGGAUUUGGGUCGUAGAAUUGGGGAGAAAAAUGGGAUUUGUUGGGAUUUGGGUCAUAAACUGGAGGGAAAAAUGGGAUUUGUUGGGAUUUGGGUGGUGGAAUUGGGGAGAAAAAUGGGAUUUGGUGGGAUUUGGAUCAUAAACUGGGGAGAAAAGUGGGAUUUAGGUCAUGGAAUUGGGGAGAAAAAUGGGAUUUGUUGGGAUUUGAGUCUUAAACUGGGGAUAAAAUGGGAUUUGGUGGGAUUUGAGUCAUGGAAUUGGGGAGAAAAAUGGGAUUUGUUGGGAUUUGGGUCGUGGAAUUUGGGAGAAAAAUGGGAUUUGGUGGGAUAUGAGUUAAACUGGGGAUAAAAUGGGAUUUGGUGCGAUUUGAAUUGUGGAAUUGGGAUCAAAACAGGAUUUGGGUCAUAAACUGGGGAGAAAAAUGGGAUUUGGUGGGAUUUGGGUGGUGGAAUUGGGGAGAAAAUGGGAUUUGUUGGGAUUUGGGUCG
Molecule: long non-coding RNA, 958 nt
Filed under: Gallus gallus (chicken)
Lineage: Eukaryota; Metazoa; Chordata; Aves; Galliformes; Phasianidae
Description: lncRNA (ENSGALG00010000209.1)
Source: RNAcentral